ACUCCUACGGGAGGCAGCAGUGGGAAUAUUGCACAAUGGGCGCAAGCCUGAUGCAGCAACGCCGCGUGAGGGACGACGGCCUUCGGGUUGUAAACCUCUUUUAGCAGGGAAGAAGCCUUCGGGUGACGGUACCUGCAGAAAAGCGCCGGCUAACUACGUGCCAGCAGCCGCGGUAAUACGUAGGGCGCAAGCGUUAUCCGGAAUUAUUGGGCGUAAAGAGCUCGUAGGCGGUCUGUCGCGUCUGCUGUGAAAACCCGAGGCUCAACCUCGGGCCUGCAGUGGGUACGGGCAGACUAGAGUGCGGUAGGGGAGAUUGGAAUUCCUGGUGUAGCGGUGGAAUGCGCAGAUAUCAGGAGGAACACCGAUGGCGAAGGCAGAUCUCUGGGCCGUAACUGACGCUGAGGAGCGAAAGGGUGGGGAGCAAACAGGCUUAGAUACCCCGUAGGCU
Molecule: ribosomal RNA, 448 nt
Filed under: uncultured bacterium
Lineage: Bacteria
Description: bacterial SSU rRNA
Rfam family: Bacterial small subunit ribosomal RNA
Source: RNAcentral